Molecule: ribosomal RNA, 465 nt
Filed under: uncultured bacterium
Lineage: Bacteria
Description: partial 16S ribosomal RNA
Rfam family: Bacterial small subunit ribosomal RNA
Source: RNAcentral
GACGAACGCUGGCGGCGUGCUUAACACAUGCAAGUCGAACGGAAAGGCCCUGCUUGCAGGGUACUCGAGUGGCGAACGGGUGGGUAACACGUGGGUGAUCUGCCCUGCACUUCGGGAUAAGCCUGGGAAACUGGGUCUAAUACCGGAUAGGAGCCAUUUUUAGUGUGAUGGUUGGAAAGUUUUUUCGGUGUAGGAUGAGCUCGCGGCCUAUCAGCUUGUUGGUGGGGUAAUGGCCUACCAAGGCGGCGACGGGUAGCCGGCCUGAGAGGGUGGACGGCCACAUUGGGACUGAGAUACGGCCCAGACUCCUACGGGAGGCAGCAGUGGGGAAUAUUGCACAAUGGGCGCAAGCCUGAUGCAGCGACGCCGCGUGGGGGAUGACGGCCUUCGGGUUGUAAACUCCCUUCGCUAGGGACGAAGCUUUUUGUGACGGUACCUAGAUAAGAAGCACCGGCUAACUACGUG